RNAcentral lists this ribosomal RNA (465 nucleotides) under Vreelandella stevensii. Its description in RNAcentral is "partial 16S ribosomal RNA". It matches the Rfam family "Bacterial small subunit ribosomal RNA", at positions 338 to 795 of the family's 1533-position model. The record is from RNAcentral. Lineage: Bacteria; Pseudomonadati; Pseudomonadota; Gammaproteobacteria; Oceanospirillales; Halomonadaceae.
CUUACGGGGGGCUGCAGUGGGGAAUAUUGGACAAUGGGGGGAACCCUGAUCCAGCCAUGCCGCGUGUGUGAAGAAGGCCCUCGGGUUGUAAAGCACUUUCAGUGAGGAAGAACGCCUGGUGGUUAAUACCCAUCAGGAAAGACAUCACUCACAGAAGAAGCACCGGCUAACUCCGUGCCAGCAGCCGCGGUAAUACGGAGGGUGCGAGCGUUAAUCGGAAUUACUGGGCGUAAAGCGCGCGUAGGUGGCUUGAUAAGCCGGUUGUGAAAGCCCCGGGCUCAACCUGGGAACGGCAUCCGGAACUGUCAAGCUAGAGUGCAGGAGAGGAAGGUAGAAUUCCCGGUGUAGCGGUGAAAUGCGUAGAGAUCGGGAGGAAUACCAGUGGCGAAGGCGGCCUUCUGGACUGACACUGACACUGAGGUGCGAAAGCGUGGGUAGCAAACAGGAUUAGAUACCCGUGUAGUC